GACGUAGGGCGCAAGCGUUGUCCGGAUUUAUUGGGCGUAAAGAGCUCGUAGGCGGCUUGUCGCGUCGACUGUGAAAACCCGUGGCUCAACCAUGUGGUCUGCAGUCGAUACGGGCAGGCUAGAAUUCGGUAGGGGAGACUGGAAUUCCUGGUGCAGCGGUGAAAUGCGCAGAUAUCAGGAGGAACACCGGUGGCGAAGGCGGGUCUCUGGGCCGAUAUUGACGCUGAGGCGCGAAAGCUAGGGGAGCAAACGGG
RNAcentral lists this ribosomal RNA (254 nucleotides) under uncultured bacterium. RNAcentral describes it as "partial 16S ribosomal RNA". It matches the Rfam family "Bacterial small subunit ribosomal RNA", at positions 524 to 776 of the family's 1533-position model. The record is from RNAcentral.